This is a long non-coding RNA of Ananas comosus (pineapple), 2316 nucleotides long. RefSeq lists it as uncharacterized. The transcript is spliced from 4 exons. NCBI's taxonomy places the organism in Eukaryota, Viridiplantae, Streptophyta, Magnoliopsida, Poales, Bromeliaceae. The record is from RefSeq and is a predicted model, not a curated record.
AAAAGAAUGAAGAAAAGAAAAAGAAGAAAGGAAAAAGAAGAAAUGAAAGGAAGAGAGGGAAUGAAAGAGAGAAAAUGAGAAAGAGAGUUAGAUGAAAAGAAAAGAGCAUAAAUAAAAGCAUGAUUGAAGUUGAUGUAGGAAUUGCAUCGAGUAAUGCUAUUAUUGUGAUUCGCCCCCCCCUAAUCGUCAAUUGAUGUGCGCAGGGUGUUCGAAAGUGUGAGUUAAAGUGUUAUACAUUUCCGAUUUGGCGCAAUUGAAGUAAUUUCAGGAAAUCGCAAGAAGGGUCGCGUGAACCCUUUUUUUUAUCGGAGACGACUUAGCGAGUCGAGGGGUCGUAUACUGGCGGUUGAUCGAGGUGAGGGGGAUCGCGCAGUAGUUAGCAACUCCUACCAGCAUGUCUUUACAGUAGAAGGCCACCAGAUAGAGUACUAUAAUUGUACAACUUGCUUAUGCUCGGGAGAGUCUGGUUUGUUCUCAUGUAUUUUCCUUUGUAGUUGGGGCUUAUUUGGUGAUGUACAUGUUGUAUGGUAACUUGGUGGGAAAUAGCGCUCUGUUACAUGUUACUUCUUUUGAUUCUGGUGUUGUGGAUGUUUGUCAUAGUUGACCUUGCGGUUGUUUGUUCAUGUCGACUUUGUUACCGCUUCGUUCGGGCAGGGGAAACUCUGUCCGUUCGGCGGGUCUGUUAGCGUCCCGUAGUCUUCCGCUGCGAACUCGGGGCGUGACAGCCGGAUAAAUCUAAUGCUGUGGGGAAAAAAAGUUGCUAAUUAUUAAGGCUUCAUUUCAUUUCGUUAUAUUGACAUUUUUCAAAAAACUUAAACUUUAGGCAAUUGAUUACACAUUAUAUUGACAUUUUCCCCUUGAAUAUCGGAUGGUUUUGAUGGCUGCGAUCGACCCGACCCUUCUUAACUGGUGAUGGGGACACUUUGGAUGGCCUACUUUGUAGGCAACCGAUUGCUCCCUGCUAUGCCAAAAAAAAGACUUCGGCAGCGAUCUAAUACGCAAAAAAAGACUUCGACGGCGAUCUAAUAAUGUUCGAUGGGUAGGGAAGCCUUAGCAAAGUAUAUUUAUUUUCACUAUCAGGUUUUGUUUUCGCUCCUACUCUAUAUUUGUAAAGAAUUUAUUUUCAUCUCGAUUCAUUUAGUCUAUUUGUUAUGGUUUCCAUGGUCUGAUUUAGUUUCCUAUGUCUUCCUGCUGCCUGUGGGGUUUUUGCUGCAUUUUAUACAUAUUUUCUCUUCAUUGUUGUCCUGUGUGCUCUACGAUAAUAUUUAUGAUGGCCUUCCCCUUGAAUGUCAAAUCGUUGUGAUAAUUGAGAGGGUCCCGGGCCUUCUUGACUGGUUAUGUGGCCACUUUGGAUGGCCACUUUGGAUGGCCUUUGUACUCGAUUAAUAUUCCAGCUUCAACUUUGAUUGAUUAAACUCUUCUUUGUUCUCUUUAGGUUUCUGGAUAACCACCAAAUUUUCUACUCUUUGUGCCAAGCUGUGGUGUUCUAAUGCAAUUGUAUAUGUAAACCUUAGUGCCUUAGCACAUAUUAGUGUAAAGUUGCAUGAGUUAGAUCUAACUGAAAUUGUUGCAUGAAUGAUUGCAUAUUGCAUUCACUUUAGAGAACAAAUUUGAGUUUUAGUUGGAUUCUUCGUUUGAAAAUUGCAUCUUUAGAAUUUGAGCUGAGUAUAAUAGCUACAUAUGUAGCUUAACGAGCCUUCCUCACUACGUAAAUUGUGUAAAAUAAUGCAAUUCAGGUAUGAAAUUUGGUAAUAUUCAUUUUUUUAUGCAGUGAGUAAACUUGCAAGCAUUGGUUUUAUACUUCAGUUUCCAGUUUUGGUUGUUUGCAGGAGAGAAGCCAAAGUUCUCUUGGUGAUUCACCUAUUGAUGGCAGCGAUAAUUGAGAGGGGCCCGGGGGUUCUGGCUCAAUCAACAGUACUAAGCAAGGAGGCUGCGGCCCAAAUCUAAUAAUGUUCGGUGGCCGGGGGAGUCUGAGCAGGGUAUAUUUAUUUAUUUCCAUGUCCAUUCACGUAUGCUGUUUGGUGUGAUUUUCGCAGGCUGAAUUAUUAUGAAGCUUCUCAUCUUUCUUGCAAGCAUUGAUUUUAUGCUUCAGUUUUCAAUUUUGGUUGUUUACCGGAGAGAAGCCAGGGUUCUCUUGGUAAUUCGGUUGUUGGUAUUUAGCAAAACUACAUUUUUAUUGUAACUCUUACGCAAAUUCGCAUCUUUCUAUUACGAGGUUAACUUUAUUUUAAUAUUUCUACUACAUGGUUAACUUUGUAAAUACAAUUUUACUUGAAUGAAUCAUAAUAAUCAUAAUAAUCUAGAAGUUAAAAAGAA